UACGUAGGCGGCCAUAUAAGUCAGAAGUGAAAGGCUACGGCUUAACCGUAGUAAGCUUUUGAAACUGUAUGGCUUGAGUGCAGGAGAGGAAAGCGGAAUUCCUAGUGUAGCGGUGAAAUGCGUAGAUAUUAGGAAGAACACCAGUAGCGAAGGCGGCUUUCUGGACUGAAACUGACGCUGAGGUACGAAAGCGUGGGGAGCGAACAGGAUUAGCUACCCUGGUAGUCC
Molecule: ribosomal RNA, 228 nt
Filed under: uncultured bacterium
Lineage: Bacteria
Description: partial 16S ribosomal RNA
Rfam family: Bacterial small subunit ribosomal RNA
Source: RNAcentral